Molecule: long non-coding RNA, 1358 nt
Organism: Melospiza georgiana
Lineage: Eukaryota; Metazoa; Chordata; Aves; Passeriformes; Passerellidae
Exons: 6
Source: RefSeq, a predicted model, not a curated record
GCGCUGCCGGCGGCCCGGGCGGCUCCGGCUCCCGCCUCACUGCAGACGCAGAGCCCGGGACACCGCAGCGCAAGCGACCGGGGCAGAUAACCAUUCAACGUGUUACAAACAAACAUAUUCCACCUGUUACAACAAUCUGGCAUAUUACUUCCUUGAUACGUGAUGAUACAAUACCUCUCAGGUUUGCUGAGUAGCAAAGAGAAAUGGAAACAUUAACAGUCCAAUUGCUUGAGAUUUUUGAGAGGCCAAAGGAGCAGCAAAAUACAUGUUGGGGAAAAAGCUUGAAUUGGCAGCUGAAAAAGAAGAAAAAAAGCAACUGGUGGAACUUCACUGAAGAUGUUGUCUUAGGAAGCGUCCCUGUGUCAGAAGGCAUUGUCAUGGAGAUUUAUGAGCAUGGGAUCAAAGCGUACAAGAAUGACACCUGUGGUAGAACUAUAACUUUGUAGAAUGUCCUGAGUUGGAAGGAUGUGGGAAAGGAUCACUGAAGCCUAUUCCUGAUCCUGCACAGAAAACCCCAGGAAUCACAUCAUGUGCCAUGUUCCAGGAUUUGGCUGGUUGUGUUCAAAGGGUUUGUUUUCCUGCUAUGUAUUAUGAACGACUUUGGAAGAAACACCUGGAAAUGCUAAUAUUGUGUGGUGACAGCAAAAUGCUAGAAUAAAAGAGGGAAGAAGCUGGAUAUCCUGGCAGUUCUGCAGUUCACCAAGUCUGUUAUUUCUGUUCUGUCUUUAUAAUGGCCAUAAAAUAUGAGCUGGGAGUAUGAUGUCAAUGCAUCCACUUUCAAUAAUUGAUAUGAUGAAUAAUCUCAACCUUCUGACACUUUCUGUAUCUUCUCACAUCUCAGGAAACUUCAUUCAUCAACCACAUUUGAAAUGUUUAAGUAAUCUCAGUGAUGUAUGGAGCACUGAAACUCCCUUGUUAGAAAUCUAUGCUACUAACAUUCUAUCAAAUUAAAAAGCCACUGAGCUCUUGUGCAUAAAAUUAUCAUAAAUUAUCUCUGAAGGUUCAUUGCUGUUUGGAAUGUUUAAUUGCUCACUCAGCUGAACUUCAGCAGCUCAAGAUUAUUAAUCAAUUUGUCAGAAGGUUUCUCAUAAUGUCAUCUUUUACACUGUGGUUAUAUGCAAGAAAAACCCAUGUGCAUGACAGUUUUGUGCAGCAAGUAAAAAGUAUCCAUGCAUGCCUUUCACAAUAUUAAUUUCAUAUAUUUAUGACAGUAUUUUUCAGUUGUUGAUUUCCCACAGAACAUAGGAAAAUUGUAAUUACCUCAGUCUAAUUUAUCUGGAUGGAAAACUAGAUUCUCAAAAAGAUAUUUAAAAGUAAAAUGGAGACAGAUAAUAAAAUGGACCUUUUAAUUCAUUUAA